Acanthopagrus latus (yellowfin seabream) is the source of this 642-nucleotide long non-coding RNA. RefSeq lists it as uncharacterized. The transcript is spliced from 3 exons. NCBI's taxonomy places the organism in Eukaryota, Metazoa, Chordata, Actinopteri, Spariformes, Sparidae. The record is from RefSeq and is a predicted model, not a curated record.
CUGGGUCAUGAAUCUCACACAUGACGUCAGCUCAUCAUCAAACUAAUUAAACAUAAGACUUAUAAAAAUACGUCAUCAUAAAGAUGCCAUCCACAGAAGGGAAACCGGAAGGGGCGGGGCUUCUCUCACCUAUAUUUAUGUCAGUUUCAGAUCUGAGACCAGAGUCAGAGUUUCUCUUGUGCAGGUUCAACAUGGCCGCUACACAAACGUCCGAGAGCCGUGAGCCGUUAACUCGGCCCGGCCGCGGUGCUCCGUCCUCGGGUCGAACUCUGAUGAUCGGAGUCCGUACUUACAAAGAACCCACAGGCCCGUGAGGUCCAGCGGCACCGCUCAGUGAACUGCAUCAUCUCAUCAGCACGGCACCAGAACCAGCAUGGAGCCAACUGGGUCAGAAGAGGUUCUGAACAAGAUGAACGUCACAAUAAAUCAUAUUGACAACUGCAGUUCUGUGAGAGGAGAGCUGGUUCUGGUUCAGUUCUGUGAGAGGAGAGCUGGUUCUGGUUCAGUUCUGUGAGAGGAGAGCUGGUUCUGGUUCAGUUCUGUGAGCAGCUCUACGAUGUUAAAGUCAGGAGACGACGUCACUGACCUCCAUCAGUCAGUUUACUGGACUUGGACGUGAACGUUGCAGUAAAAUAUUUCAGA